AUAACCCCGGGAAACUGGGGAUAAUACCCCAUAGACUAUGAAUGCUGGAAUGCUUUGUAGUCGAAAGGUGAGCCGCCUUAGGAUGGGUCUGCGGCCGAUUAGGUUGUUGUUGGGGUAACGGCCCAACAAGCCUGUAAUCGGUACGGGUUGUGGGAGCAAGAGCCCGGAGAUGGAUUCUGAGACACGAAUCCAGGCCCUACGGGGCGCAGCAGGCGCGAAAACUUUACAAUGCGGGAAACCGUGAUAAGGGAACUCCGAGUGCCCGUAAAAUCGGGCUGUCCAUUUGUUUAAAAAACAAGUGAAGAAAGGGCCGGGCAAGACCGGUGCCAGCCGCCGCGGUAAUACCGGCGGCUCGAGUGGUGGCCACUAUUACUGGGCUUAAAGCGUUCGUAGCUGGUUUGUUAAGUCUCUGGGGAAAUCUUCCGGCUUAACCGGAAGGCGUCUCAGGGAUACUGGCAGACUAGGGACCGGGAGAGGUGAGGGGUACUCCAGGGGUAGGAGUGAAAUCCUGUAAUCCUUGGGGGACCACCUGUGGCGAAGGCGUCUCACUAGAACGGCUCCGACAGUGAGGGACGAAAGCUGGGGGAGCAAACCGGAUUAGAUACCCGGGUAGUCCCAGCUGUAAACGAUGCGCGUUAGGUGUAUCGGUGACCACGAGUCACCGAGGUGCCGAAGGGAAACCGUGAAACGUGCCGCCUGGAAGU
This 704-nucleotide ribosomal RNA is filed under the name uncultured Methanomicrobiales archaeon. RNAcentral describes it as "bacterial SSU rRNA". It matches the Rfam family "Archaeal small subunit ribosomal RNA", at positions 126 to 836 of the family's 1478-position model. Lineage: Archaea; Methanobacteriati; Methanobacteriota; Methanomicrobia; Methanomicrobiales. The record is from RNAcentral.